CAGUAGCCGCGGUAAUACGAAGGGUGCAAGCGUUAAUCGGAAUUACUGGGCGUAAAGGGCGCGUAGGCGGUUUGACAAGUCUGAUGUGAAAUCUCUGGGCUCAACCCAGAGUCUGCAUCGGAAACUGUCGAGCUUGAGUAUGGGAGAGGUGAGUGGAAUUUCCGGUGUAGCGGUGAAAUGCGUAGAUAUCGGAAGGAACACCUGUGGCGAAAGCGGCUCACUGGACCAUUACUGACGCUGAGGCGCGAAAGCUAGGGGAGCAAACAGGAUUAGAUACCCCAGUAGUCCCUGUCUCUUAUAA
RNAcentral lists this ribosomal RNA (301 nucleotides) under uncultured bacterium. RNAcentral's name for it is "partial 16S ribosomal RNA". It matches the Rfam family "Bacterial small subunit ribosomal RNA", at positions 509 to 809 of the family's 1533-position model. The record is from RNAcentral.